AUGGAUCGCAGGAGGUGGCGGCGGAUUCUUGACAGGCUCAUUGAGCCAAUUCACAGAUCCGUGAGUACCUGCUCUUUUCCCCAUAUUCUUGGUGAUGGGAAGGGAACAACAAGAAGCCACGUCUUUCACUCUGGCAAGGAGGGUGCAGAAUCAGGCGAGAAAUGGUUGCUCUCGGUCAUACACGGCGGCGCUAGUGGUAGUGGUGGAUCAUUUGCAUCCAUCAUCGACCUUGGUGACCCAAGAAAGGAAGAUUCCGAUUAUAGUUGGGAAGUGAAGUUUGUCAUUCUUUUGUUUUCUAGAUACAAGAUGGUGCUUGAUCGAGAUGGUUGGGUGUUACAGCUGCUGGAGAAUCGUCGGCUGUUUCUCAUUGACGGCGGUGGUCGCAAGUUAUGA
This 393-nucleotide ribosomal RNA is filed under the name Triticum aestivum (bread wheat). RNAcentral describes it as "partial small subunit ribosomal RNA". The record is from RNAcentral. Lineage: Eukaryota; Viridiplantae; Streptophyta; Magnoliopsida; Poales; Poaceae.